This is a non-coding RNA of Phytophthora infestans T30-4, 77 nucleotides long. The record is from Rfam. NCBI's taxonomy places the organism in Eukaryota, Oomycota, Peronosporomycetes, Peronosporales, Peronosporaceae.
UCCAAUAUAGAUAAAGUAGGCGGUUCGGAUAGCUGGCUCUCGCCCAGCAGACCCGGGUUCGAGUCCCGGUGUGGGAA